AAUGAGUUUUAUGCUACUGGGACUGCCAAAUAGCAUAGUGGCAGGAGAGCAUGUGGAUGGCAGGAGGGCGUGUGGAUGGAGGAGAAAUCUGUGGGUGUUGGGAAGGCAUGGUGAUGGGGACAAGAAGGCAGGGCACACCAGAUUAAUCUACCUGGGCACUUACCUGCUUUCUGUGAUGGGCAUGCCCCAAACAGGAAUCAGCGGAGCCAGUACUUCAAUUGAAUUAAACCUACUUUUCUCAGUAAAGUGAAAAAUAAGAUCGAUUUUGGGAGCACAGUGCCCGUGAGAUUUUUAAAAAGUACAAAUUGUCCUAAGUCAGCACAGGUAUCCUUGUAAUGGGGACAGAGGGACAGCAGCAUUUCUCCAUCUGUCCAUGAGCAGGAGUCACCUGGGAUCCAUGAAAUGAAAUGCAGGUUCUGGUGUCACGGGUCUCGGGUAGGGCCUGAAGUACCGCAUUUCUUUUUUGUUUGUUUUGUUUUUCAAGACAGGGUUUCUCUGUAUAACAGUCCUGGCUGUCCUGGAACAACUUCUGCAUUUCUAACAAGCUUGGCCAACAUUACACACCCCUGGAGUGGCAAGGCUCCGUGACAUUCCUAGCACAUGAGAAAGCCCAACUGCCCAGGUCAGCCAAGUGCAAAGGUGAUGCCCCACCCAAUCUGCCAAAUGGAAAUCUUCUAGAUCAUUCUAUAGUUCCCAGGGGACCUCCUUGCCUAGUCUUGCCACCAACACUAACAGUAGAAAACUCCUUUUUGUUUGUCAUGCAUCUCUUCCCAUGUUAGGUCAGGGAAAGGGAUAUGAUCAACCAGGGAACCCUGGGGAGGAGUGCGGUCGGGAAUCUCAGAGGAAGCAAAAGCAACUGGAGCAGGCAAAACAGACCUUGGGAGUGUCUCACCCGGGCCUUGAAAGCAGGAAGUGCAGGCAACCUCCAGGCCAAGGUGACUGUGACCUAUGACACCACAAGCUGCUGUGGAUGCCUGCACAGCUCUUUCACUGAGCUCUGUAUUCUCCGACUCAACCCACGGAGGAUCAAAGAUAUCAGGAUUUGA
RNAcentral lists this long non-coding RNA (1046 nucleotides) under Cricetulus griseus (Chinese hamster). RNAcentral's name for it is "lncRNA (ENSCGRG00000026096.1)". Lineage: Eukaryota; Metazoa; Chordata; Mammalia; Rodentia; Cricetidae. The record is from RNAcentral.